RNAcentral lists this small RNA (102 nucleotides) under Bacteroides xylanisolvens XB1A. RNAcentral's name for it is "Bacteroides sRNA BTnc049". It matches the Rfam family "Bacteroides sRNA BTnc049". From Rfam's summary of the family: An uncharacterized small RNA discovered in Bacteroides thetaiotaomicron The record is from Rfam by way of RNAcentral. Lineage: Bacteria; Pseudomonadati; Bacteroidota; Bacteroidia; Bacteroidales; Bacteroidaceae.
ACAGAAAGGGAUUGUGAAAUUCCAAGAAUAGAAUAGUUUAGUUAAGUCUAGUUUAGUUUUUGUGUUGAUCGGAAGCCUGCGAGCGAGCAUGAGCUUCCGAUU